UUUACCUGAAAAAUCGGCCUACUCUUAUCAUAGAACGAAAUAGAAGAUUCCUUUCGAGCUUGUUUCAUUUUUCUCGAAUUUAUUUUUUAAAAUAAAAAUCCUCUUUUGACUCCAAUUCCUUCUGCUAGGAAAUGAACUUUUCAGGUUAUGGAGUGUAUUAGUAAAAUUCAUCUCCAAGGAGACACUAAACAUUCUCGUUUUAACCGCCGCUGUUUGAUGAUGGAAAUUGCUCCGUCACAACUUAAGGUUAGUAUGUGUUUAUGAACAAUGGAUGGGUUGAUAUGGAAAGAUGGCGCAAAAUAAAAGAAUCUGUUAGCUACUAUUUCAAUGUAUGUAUGUGUUGCAAGAAACCCACUGGGACCAGAGAUCCCCAGUGUAACGCAAGUGCCUCAUCUAACGAAAGAGACUUCCACGUUAUAUUCAUCAAUGGGAAUCUUCCAUCAUGCCAACUGGUUCUCCAAAAGCAUCGCCCCGAACCCCAAUACAGAAGUUCUAUCUCCCCCAAGAAACGAAAAACGCCAUAAUAGAGGCCAUUAGCGCAAUUGAAAAAGAGUACGUCAAAACAUGAAGCAAAUGAUUUGAAAAUCAAUCACAGAUUACAAAUUCACGUGCUUGUGGGUGAAAAUGAAUCAAGUUUGUUGUGAGCUCGUUUGAAAUUGAAAUCUCUCACUGUAAAUACAAUGUUUAUUCUUGAGAUCUUGGCCUCUUGCUUCCUCCUUCCUACCUUAAGCUCCAGAAUUAAUAAAGUACCCUAGUGAGUUACAGAAUAAUUUUUUGGUGGGUAUGGUCCAGAUAGAUCAGCAAAAAAAAAAUUAAAAAAAUAAGAAUUGGCCAAACACCGAGUUUUUUGGUGAAAUGUAGUAAAAGGUAUCGCCUUUUCAAAACAGGGAAAAUAUGAUAUCGCCAUUUUCUUUUUAAAAAAAAGAAAAAAAGCUACAUUACAUUACCUGCAUGGGCGUAGCUAGGGGGGUCUGGGGGGCCUGGCCCCCCCCAGAAAUCUCGUGGCCCCCCCCCCCAGAAAAACGAGAUCCUCCAUUCCUCACCCCUCCCCCCGCUCUCUACAUCACAAGAGUUGGUCCCAUGGCCCUCCCCAGAGAAAUUUCCUAGCCACGCCCAUGAUUACCUGUAGCAGUAAAAUCAAUUUUACAACAGCACUAAUCAAUUUACACCUCCUUAUGUUAGACAAAUGAUAGUUAAUAUUUUGCAUAUAUAAUAUACUGCGCAAUUUAAACUUGUAGUGCUGAAAUUGUUGACUUUUCAAAUAUUUACAAUGAAUAUCGAAAGGGUUAAACCCUCAUUGUCUUUGAUUCUCCAAAAUGUUUCAUGAAGAAGAAAAAUAAUUCAGUGACUUAAUACUAUGUACUAACACGUGCAAACAUGAAUAUACAGGGUGAUCCAAAAGUCCCUUCCACCCCCUCUAACUUUUUACCUAAUUGAGAUAAAGAUUUGAAACUUGGGGGAUAUUCCUAGG
This 1471-nucleotide long non-coding RNA is filed under the name Bemisia tabaci. RNAcentral describes it as "lncRNA ENSASIAIIG001115". Lineage: Eukaryota; Metazoa; Arthropoda; Insecta; Hemiptera; Aleyrodidae. The record is from RNAcentral.